GACCUGAUGGUGUAGUGGUAACAUGUCUGCUGACUUUGGAAUGUAGAAAACGGUACCGUAAGCAGGAGGCCCCGGUUCGAACCCGGGUCAGGUCA
Mycena leptocephala is the source of this 95-nucleotide non-coding RNA. Lineage: Eukaryota; Fungi; Basidiomycota; Agaricomycetes; Agaricales; Mycenaceae. The record is from the annotation of a GenBank genome assembly.